AUUGAACGCUGGCGGCAUGCUUUACACAUGCAAGUCGGACGGCAGCACAGAGAAGCUUGCUUCUUGGGUGGCGAGUGGCGAACGGGUGAGUAAUAUAUCGGAACGUACCGAGUAAUGGGGGAUAACUAAUCGAAAGAUUAGCUAAUACCGCAUAUUCUCUGAGGAGGAAAGCAGGGGACCUUCGGGCCUUGCGUUAUUCGAGCGGCCGAUAUCUGAUUAGCUAGUUGGUGGGGUAAAGGCCUACCAAGGCGACGAUCAGUAGCGGGUCUGAGAGGAUGAUCCGCCACACUGGGACUGAGACACGGCCCAGACUCCUACGGGAGGCAGCAGUGGGGAAUUUUGGACAAUGGGCGCAAGCCUGAUCCAGCCAUGCCGCGUGUCUGAAGAAGGCCUUCGGGUUGUAAAGGACUUUUGUCAGGGCAGAAAAGGCUGUUGCUAAUACCGACAGCUGAUGACGGUACCUGAAGAAUAAGCACCGGCUAACUACGUG
This 490-nucleotide ribosomal RNA is filed under the name uncultured bacterium. Its description in RNAcentral is "partial 16S ribosomal RNA". It matches the Rfam family "Bacterial small subunit ribosomal RNA", at positions 30 to 507 of the family's 1533-position model. The record is from RNAcentral.